RNAcentral lists this ribosomal RNA (402 nucleotides) under uncultured bacterium. RNAcentral describes it as "bacterial SSU rRNA". It matches the Rfam family "Bacterial small subunit ribosomal RNA", at positions 28 to 413 of the family's 1533-position model. The record is from RNAcentral.
GAUGAACGCUGGCGGCGUGUCUAAGGCAUGCAAGUCGAACGGACUGUUAUUUGUAGCAAUACUUAGAACAGUUAGUGGCAAACGGGUGCGUAACACAUUGGUAACUUGCCUCAAAGUCGGGCAUAAUCCCGCGAAAGUGGGACUAAUUCCACGAUAGUCAUCGAAGGUGAGAUUCCUUCGAUGUAAAGUCGCAAGACGCUUUGAGAGGGGCCUAUGGCCUAUCAGCUUGUUGGUGAGGUAACGGCUCACCAAGGCUAUGACGGGUAGGGGGUGUGAGAGCACGACCCCCCUCCACUGGGACGUGAGACACUGCCCACGACACCUACGGGUGGGCUGCAGUCGAGAAUAUUCCCCAACUAGGCCGAAAGGACUGAGGGAGGCGACGCCGCGUGCAGGAAGUAA